CCUACGGGUGGCAGCAGUGAGGAAUAUUGGUCAAUGGGCGGAAGCCUGAACCAGCCAAGCCGCGUGAAGGAAGAAGGCGCCAGGCAUGGUAAACUUCUUUUGUCGAGGGACAAAUGGCGCCGCGAGUGCCUGAGUGAGUGUACCCGAAGAAAAAGCAUCGGCUAACUCCGUGCCAGCAGCCGCGGUAAGACGGAGGAUGCGAGCGUUAUCCGGAUUUAUGGGGUUUAAAGGGUGCGUAGGCGGUCCGGUAAGUCAGCGGUAAAAGCCCGGGGCUCACCCCCGGCGAGCCGUUGAAACUGGCGGACUAGAGACGGCGAGAGGUACGCGGAAUGCGCAGUGUAGCGGUGAAAUGCAUAGAGAUCGCGCAGAACUCCGAUGGCGAAGGCAGCGUACCGGCGCCGGACUGACGCUGAGGCACGAAAGCGUGGGUAUCGAACAGGAUUAGAUACCCGUGUAGUC
Molecule: ribosomal RNA, 459 nt
Filed under: uncultured bacterium
Lineage: Bacteria
Description: partial 16S ribosomal RNA
Rfam family: Bacterial small subunit ribosomal RNA
Source: RNAcentral